Nicotiana tabacum (common tobacco) is the source of this 4780-nucleotide non-coding RNA. The record is from RefSeq and is a predicted model, not a curated record. NCBI's taxonomy places the organism in Eukaryota, Viridiplantae, Streptophyta, Magnoliopsida, Solanales, Solanaceae.
UUAAGCAAGAUCAUAUCUUUUUGUUUCUAUGUAGUUCAAGAUUUCACUUUUCCUGUGGUUUCUUUGUUAUUUUCUUUUUCUGGGUGUGUGAGAUAUCUUGUUUUUCAUGUGAAUUAAUUAUUUAUCUUGUCGAUAAGUUCAUUUAUUUGUUGCCUUUUAAACACCAAUUGAGGUUAUUCUAUGAAAUCAUUUCCAAAAAAGAUACCUUCAAGUGAAAAUAGCAGAGUUUUGGUAAGUUUUCUUGACAAGUAGGGAGACUGCUUUUUGUCCUAAGAGUCAUAUGUAGCACUAUACUCGUAUGGGAUUUGAUAUCAAUUAGCACAACUAGUUCUAAAGGUAUAUCCAUUUUGCGAGACUUACCAAGGAGGAAUUAAUACGCAGAUAUUGGAUCAUGUUCAGCAGUAAGGUGAAUGUUAGAUUUUUCAUGUCUUCGAAAAUGUUUCCCGAGAAAUACAGAAGAUGCUUGAGAUAUUUUCUUCAGUGUUUAGUUUUGAUUAAACAUUGUUACAUUAAGGUGGUGUUAUGUGAGCCCUUCCCCGUUAUACAUCUUUACUUCUAUUUUACAAAAUUUUCACCAUCCUCUCCAUCGAGCAUGCAUAGAAGGUGUUGGUCUAAAUGAUUUACCAAUAACCUUUCUCUAACUAGGGAUGUCUAGGAUUAGGACUUUCGAUAAAUCGAGGUCUGCUUGGCAUGAUCCACUCAUGAUCCUCAAAUCCGUUUCUCUGCCUCAAAGAUUUCAUCAUUUUCUUCAAGUGUAUAUACAAAACAAAACUAGAUGGUGAAACAUGCAUUUAUUAAUAUCAGAACUAAUUUACUUAAAAGGAGACAAUCAUAAACUGUGAAUGGAAUUGUUAACAAAAUACCCCAAUCGACUAUUUCCUCAUGUUAUUAGCUUGAUGCUAACAGGUACACUACAGAGCUAUUAGAUUUUUCAUGUCAUAGGUAACAAUGAUUCCUAGGGAAUAGGGGAUGCUCGAUGUGAUUUUUCAAUAUAAAGUUUUGAUAGUAACAUUGUUGUGUCAUAGUGUUAAGGUCUCGUGUAUGAGACAUUCUUGUUUUACAUCUUUAUUUCCAUUUUACAAGACUUACUACAACAAGUUACUGAUACAGAGAUAUCUAUCUUGUCUAGAAGUAAAAGCGAAUGUUAGAUUUUUCAUGUCAGGGGAAAUGAUAUCCUGGGAAAUUGGGGAUGCUUGAUGUAUUUUCUUCAGUAUAAAUGUUUUAUAACAACUUGGCUGUGCCAUUCCAUUAAGCUAUUUUCACUUGAGCCUUUUGUGUUUUACGUCUUUAUUUUCAUUUUACAAAGCUUACUCGUGUAUAUGAGUAAAAGUGGAUAUUAGACUUUUUAUGUCGUAGGAAAUAGGGUUUCCUGAGAUAUAGGAGAUGCUUGAUGUAUUUCUUCAAUAUUAAGUUUUUAAUAAUGUUGCUGUUUGAUCGUUAAGGUGUCAUUACGUAAGCCUUUAAUUAUUUCACAUCUUUUUUUUUAUUGUACAAAACUCACUUUACUCCUGCUAAUAAGAAGAUAUUGAGCAUGUGCUGAAGUACUUUCCUGUCAUAGGAGUGAUCAGUGGAUCUUUCCUGUCAUAGGAGUGAUCAGUGAUGUUUCCUACUAAAAGGAGAUUGUUGAUGUAUUUUCUACAAAUAUUUGGUUUCAAUAACAAUGUUAUUGUAUCAUUGCCUUAAGGUUGCUUUUCUUGCUUUACAUUCCUAUUUCCAUUUCACAAAAUUUUCUGCUACUGUUACUAAUAUGGAGUAAUUGGUCAUGCAUUGAAGUACAAUUUGAUAUUGUGUUUUCAAGACACAGGAAUGUUGUUUCCUACGAAAUAGGAUUGAUAAAUUUUUGUUGAAUAGUUUUGAUAGCAACAUUGCUGCAUCAUUGCAUUAAGGUGUUGAUUUGUGAGCCUUACAAACUUAAUAACAGAUACUAACACAGAGAUAUUGAUAUUGUCUAGAAGUAAAAAUGGAAAGACCUUUUUUUUUUCUUUUCGUGGAUGAUGGUGGUGUCCGGGCCAGCUUGCGCACACCUCAACUAUUCCAUCGGUUACCUUCUACCUCCCAUCAGCACAGUUUUCAGCCCGGGAAUGACAACAUCUGUCCAGGAAGUUUUUGAAACACGGUGUUCUUCCCUUAAAUUCCUGGGUGAAACGAUCCCAACCAGGAGAAGUAUCGAAGUGAGUUUUGCAUCAUAGGAUGAGAGGAAGCUGAAGAUGGUACAGGUAAAAAAAGGUUAAUGGAACACGGUCUGGUAUCACCUGAGAGAGAAAAGAAGGUACUAGAGAAAAAAAAGCAGAGGAAGCAAAACCAAAUUCGCACAGGGACCCGUGUCAAGUCUCUGCCACCACUAAUCUCGAGCAAACCUCAGAGUUCCAAAGUGCUGCAGCAAGAAUCAAAGAAUGGCGAUGUAAAAUCAAAAACACGAUUAAAACUGAUAACAAUGACGAAGAUGAUUUCAUACUUAGUCCAACGAGGAGAAAAGGGUAAGAACGAAUGCUCAUUUCCUUGUGCAGUCAUGUAUUGAAUAGAAAUUGGGCUGUCUUGAAAACUUCAAAAAGGAUUUGAUGGAGUGCAUUCUUUUAUUCUUGAUUCAUGGAAAUGAAUAAGUGAAUUAUAGUUGAUAUAAACCACAGUUUAAUGUUAUAUAGUAAAAUGUUUCAUGUGACUUGUUAUAGUUGCACAUAAACCACAGUUUUAGUGUUAUAAAGCACAACGUUUCAUGUAACUUGUUUAGUUUGCCUUAUGUUGUUAAUUUUUAAGUUACAGGAAAUAGACACAUCUCAGAGUUCAUUACAAAUUUCUGACAAGCGAUCAGUUUCCAACCGAAUAAGUGAGGAAGAAAGAUAAAAAAAUCAUUGUUUUUCUUCUUCCACUUCUUAUAAUGUGAUAUAGUGACCAUCAGGUCAAGUAUAGUAACAGUUUAUAUAGUAUCUUACCAUUUCUUCUGAGAGACCUUCCCAGCGAUCUUGAUAUUACUUCCCGACUAAUUAUCAAAGUUGUCUGAUUAAGUCAGAUGGCCUGUGUAGUUGAUUUUUUAUUUGUUUCAGACGUUCAGUCAUUUCACGGAUGAGCAAGCUAAGGCUGCUGCACAUAAAUAUUAUGCGUACAUGUAAAGCUUACUGUUCAUGGUAGUCCUUACAUGUCUUUAAUACUCAAUGGCAUGGAUAGCUGCUGCUGCAUUCAGAUAAAAGGAACAUGGAUUUAUGAUGCAAAUGAGAACAUAUACCAUAAGAUUCAUCAACAUGAAGUUAAGUUUGAUCUUGACAUUGUCUUAUUCAUGCGAUGACAUGAACCAUGUUAUUUGUUCCUGACAUAUAACAUUUUGUACCUUUGAUCGUUGGAUUCCCCAAUGAAGAUGGUGAAGGGGUAAGAAGCUCUGACCCUUAUGUGUUUUAUUGCAAGCAUUGAAAUUUUAUUGGUGCAUUUAUUUCAGGAGACAAGAAAAUUAACUCCAUUGCACGGUAAGCAUUUAAUGUGUAGGAGACCAAUCCCAUUCUUGAUUUGGUAAACUUAGAAAUAAACUCUCACUUCUUGACAUUUUCUAAUUUUCACUACCUGCAUCCUGUUGUUUUGCAAGUUAAAUAAAGCCAAAAACAUGAAGUUAAAUGUUGAUGGUGGUGUUGGGCUAAACCGCCCCAAAGAUAUUCUUAACAUGAUGUGAUAUUGCCCUCUUUUCACCAAACCUGCACGGUUUUCUCCAAAAGACCUCACACCAUUAAGAGAUCCCUACACCCCACCUAGCUACUCUAGGUUGGGGGUAGGCCCCGGGGGAGAAGUUAUAGACACCUUUCCAUACUUCGUAUCUGGAGUACUUCGUCUAAUUUCUUCUGCAGUACUGGGCUUUGCUUACUAUACUUGCUGCUGUAGCAUUAUAAACAGUAUUGUUACUCUUGCUGCCGUCGGGAUAAAUCUGACCCCUUCCCCACGUAUCCGCCUACGUAUAUAAGGAUAUUUUAAGAAGUGAACAUCCUUCUUAGUAGCAGGGUCCUGGGAAACUUUUAAGCUAUCAAUGUGGGACUUUGUUCGCACACACGACAAGUGGGUAGAAGAGAUUUCUGCUACAUCAGAAGGUAGAAAGGUUAAGAGUGUCAAUUGUUGACAAAAGCGAUAGCUAGUGAUUCAUGGUUAACAUAUUCUCAUUGUCUCAAAGUCCAAGGUAAUCUCUUAAGUCAAUUGUAAUGUCCUUGAUUAUUGGUGACCACUACUUAGACUGAAUAAAGUUAAAAGCAUUUAUUGGAUUAUUAUCUGGUAAAACAUCAAUAUCUAUAUGGUACUGUUGAUGGAGAUGUUGCAGACAUAUAAGAGGAUACAAGUCAAAGUUAGGGAUUAAUUUACUGCUCUUUUAUGUGAGUUGUCCUUGUCUUCUUCACUCUUCUUGUAAGCCUUUUUAUGGCUCUUUCGUUCUCUAAUAGUUUCUUAUCACAAGUAUUUUCGGUCCUUCACUGGAUAAUUAAUGAAUGCAGGUACCUUCUUCUGCUUUAGAUAUCUUUCUCUUACUCUUCUUUUUUCUUUUUUAUAACAGUUGUGUCAGGAUGAUCUUGCGCGUACUUCGACUAUUCAUUAGGUAUUUGGUACAUUUCAUCAGCAUAUGCACCGGAUAACUCUAUCCGUCAAGAUUCAAAUGAGUAGGAAGAAAUCAUCUAGUGUUUUUUUCCUAUGUUGGAUUUGAACCUUGGUCUUUCAUGGUUUACACCCAAUUUAUUGUCUUUCCUUUGGGUUAUUCAUUCUCUAUUUUUGACAGGCAUGAAUAUUAAAAUAAGAUUGAAAAAUCAGAGUUUGAUGUUGA